GCCAGGCACAGUGGCGCAUGCCUGUAAUCUCAGCAGCUCCAGAGGCUGAGACAGGAGGAUCUCGAGUUCAAAAACAGCCUCAGCAAAAGUGAGGCACUAAGCAGCUCAGUGAGACCCUGUCUCUA
RNAcentral lists this small RNA (125 nucleotides) under Marmota monax (woodchuck). Lineage: Eukaryota; Metazoa; Chordata; Mammalia; Rodentia; Sciuridae. The record is from RNAcentral.